GUAGCCCAGAGUCGGCAGGAAGCCCGGGGGGUGGCAAUAGCAGCAGCAGCAGCUCUGCCCUACCUUGCCCGGGCGUUUCCAGGGGAGCCAAGAAUUAUUUUGCCGCAACACUGAGGUGUGGCUGGUUGGAAAAUUCCCUUUUCUGACACCAAACUAAAGGACAGAUAUUUUCUUCCAGUUGGGCCAACCUUCUGUGCACCUGUCUACCUCCCCAGCCCUUCCCCCUGUACGAAGUUUGGGGUGCCCUGAGCUCCUCUUCCUUAGAGUGCGUGAAAUAAAAAGGCCCAGGGAGAGGUUUCUGCUGGUCAGUCAGAAGCAGGCACCCCGGAGCACAUACGCACACCCCUAAACAGAUUUUAGAAAGCUGCUGGGCUUCUCCCCCCUCCCCUUUAAGCAAGUGAAAUGCAAAUUCAGAUUUGAUACCUUGCCCUCAGCCAAUGAAAAAGAGGUUUUCACCUGCCACGGGCCAACCCACCAAUCAGAGGAAGUGUCUGGAGUGAGAGCCCUCCCCUGGCCAAUGGAAGGCCAGCUCAGUCACUUAGUUAAUGAUGCAGCAGUACAAGGAAGGCCAUCACAUGUGAACUGGAAGGGUGCCAACAUGGAGACACAGAGCGCGCAAGGUUUGAGCAGCUGACACGAAGGGAAAAGAAACUGAAGUGG
Long non-coding RNA from Myotis brandtii (Brandt's bat), 660 nucleotides. RefSeq lists it as uncharacterized. The record is from RefSeq and is a predicted model, not a curated record. Lineage: Eukaryota; Metazoa; Chordata; Mammalia; Chiroptera; Vespertilionidae. The transcript is spliced from 2 exons.